CAAUAGCGUAUAUUAAAGUUGUUGCGGUUAAAAAGCUCGUAGUUGGAGUUCUGCCAGGUGCCGCCUGUCCGCCCCAGUGGUGAGUACGUGGCGCGCAUUUGGCCCUUUCAAGGGGAGCGUAUCUGCACUUUAUUGUGUGGUGCGGGAUCCUUGACUUUUACUUUGAGGAAAUAGGAGUGUUCCAAGCAGGCUCUCGUCGUGCACAGCUCAGCAUGGAAUAAUAGCAUUGGACCUCGAUUCUAAGCUGUUGGUUGCCAGAAGCGAGGUAAUGAUGAAGAGGGAUAGUUGGGGGCAUUCGUAUUUAACUGUCAGAGGUGAAAUUCUCGGAUUUGUUAAAGACGGACUACUGCGAAAGCAUCUGCCAUGGAUGUUUUCAUUGA
RNAcentral lists this ribosomal RNA (380 nucleotides) under uncultured eukaryote. RNAcentral's name for it is "partial 18S ribosomal RNA". It matches the Rfam family "Eukaryotic small subunit ribosomal RNA", at positions 592 to 976 of the family's 1831-position model. The record is from RNAcentral.